UACGUAGGCUGCAAGCGUUGUUCGGAAUUACUGGGCGUAAAGAGUUUGUAGGCGGUUUGCCAAGUCCGAUGUGAAAUCUCCUGGCUUAACUGGGAGGGUGCGUUAGAUACUGGCAGGCUUGAGUGUGGGAGAGGAGAGCGGAAUUCCUGGUGUAGCGGUGAAAUGCGUAGAUAUCAGGAGGAACGCCUGUGGUGUAGACGGCUCUCUGGACCAUUACUGACACUGAGGUACGAAAGCGUGGGUAGCAAACAGG
This 253-nucleotide ribosomal RNA is filed under the name uncultured bacterium. Its description in RNAcentral is "partial 16S ribosomal RNA". It matches the Rfam family "Bacterial small subunit ribosomal RNA", at positions 524 to 776 of the family's 1533-position model. The record is from RNAcentral.